GGGCCCGUAGCUUAGCUUGGUAGAGCGCCCGGCUGAUAACCGGGAGGUCGCGGGUUCAAGUCCCGCCGGGCCCA
Molecule: transfer RNA, 74 nt
Filed under: Sulfurisphaera ohwakuensis
Lineage: Archaea; Thermoproteati; Thermoproteota; Thermoprotei; Sulfolobales; Sulfolobaceae
Also listed under: 2 other names
Description: tRNA-Ile
Rfam family: tRNA
About the family: Transfer RNA (tRNA) molecules are approximately 80 nucleotides in length. Their secondary structure includes four short double-helical elements and three loops (D, anti-codon, and T loops).
Source: RNAcentral